AACUGGAUUCUCCUGAGAUCCUUCUGCUUAUGACAUGAGACAAGUGGACUGAUUUGUCAAAGGUCACUGCACCAUACACUUAAGUUGAAGACUCAGUGAAGAUUAACCAAGCCUCUUACAGCUAAAAUGACAUUUUAAAAGAAAGAAAGAAAGAAAAAAGAUUCAUGGAUUCAUAGUUACCGCAGAGUUGGAAAACGCCCCCAGAGAGCCCAGGACAUGAGCUAGCUUUGCUCAGGAACUCAUCAGAGGCCAUGGGGCCAGCUUAUUGGCAGAACCAGAGCUUUUAAAAUUUAGUUUUUAUUCCUUUUCUUAAUCUCUUGGAUUACAGCACAUAUUACCUUUUAUCUGAAUAAAAACUUU
Long non-coding RNA from Mastomys coucha (southern multimammate mouse), 360 nucleotides. RefSeq lists it as uncharacterized. Lineage: Eukaryota; Metazoa; Chordata; Mammalia; Rodentia; Muridae. The record is from RefSeq and is a predicted model, not a curated record. The transcript is spliced from 2 exons.